This 918-nucleotide ribosomal RNA is filed under the name Halomonas caseinilytica. RNAcentral's name for it is "bacterial SSU rRNA". It matches the Rfam family "Bacterial small subunit ribosomal RNA", at positions 53 to 962 of the family's 1533-position model. The record is from RNAcentral. Lineage: Bacteria; Pseudomonadati; Pseudomonadota; Gammaproteobacteria; Oceanospirillales; Halomonadaceae.
ACAUGCAAGUCGAGCGGAAACGAUCCUAGCUUGCUAGGAGGCGUCGAGCGGCGGACGGGUGAGUAAUGCAUAGGAAUCUGCCCGGUAGUGGGGGAUAACCUGAGGAAACUCAGGCUAAUACCGCAUACGUCCUACGGGAGAAAGCAGGGGCUCUUCGGACCUUGCGCUAUCGGAUGAGCUUAUGUCGGAUUAGCUGGUUGGUGAGGUAACGGCUCACCAAGGCGACGAUCCGUAGCUGGUCUGAGAGGAUGAUCAGCCACAUCGGGACUGAGACACGGCCCGAACUCCUACGGGAGGCAGCAGUGGGGAAUAUUGGACAAUGGGGGCAACCCUGAUCCAGCCAUGCCGCGUGUGUGAAGAAGGCCCUCGGGUUGUAAAGCACUUUCAGUGAGGAAGAAGGCUUGUCGGUUAAUACCCGGCAAGAAAGACAUCACUCACAGAAGAAGCACCGGCUAACUCCGUGCCAGCAGCCGCGGUAAUACGGAGGGUGCGAGCGUUAAUCGGAAUUACUGGGCGUAAAGCGUGCGUAGGCGGCUUGAUAAGCCGGUUGUGAAAGCCCCGGGCUCAACCUGGGAACGGCAUCCGGAACUGUCAGGCUAGAGUGCAGGAGAGGAAGGUAGAAUUCCCGGUGUAGCGGUGAAAUGCGUAGAGAUCGGGAGGAAUACCAGUGGCGAAGGCGGCCUUCUGGACUGACACUGACGCUGAGGUACGAAAGCGUGGGUAGCAAACAGGAUUAGAUACCCUGGUAGUCCACGCCGUAAACGAUGUCGACUAGCCGUUGGGGUCCUCGAGACCUUUGUGGCGCAGUUAACGCACUAAGUCGACCGCCUGGGGAGUACGGCCGCAAGGUUAAAACUCAAAUGAAUUGACGGGUGCCCGCACAAGCGGUGGAGCAUGUGGUUUAAUUCGAUGCAACGC